Molecule: transfer-messenger RNA, 400 nt
Filed under: bovine gut metagenome
Rfam family: transfer-messenger RNA
About the family: Bacterial tmRNA, also known as 10Sa RNA or SsrA, is named for its dual tRNA and mRNA-like properties. Its role is to liberate the mRNA from a stalled ribosome.
Source: RNAcentral
GGGGCUGACUUGGCUUUGACAGCGUGUAGAGGUGGUAGGUAAGCAUGCAGAGCGAUGAUGGCAAUGCUCUUUAAUAUCAGUCAUUACUUAAAUUUAACUGGCGAAAACAACUACGCUCUCGCUGCCUGAUUGAAGUAUAGUAGAUCGGCUUAAUUUCGGCCCAAGGGGUUGAAACGAGACAUCACCCGGUAGCCCUUUCUGCGAGGCUUAUCGACAUGGUGGUGCUGGCAAAUCGGAGAUAGAGUGCGGCAUGCCGCGGGCGGCGCUCGAAAUUUAGCGGAUAAGUCGCCGAUUGGUAGUCAGGAGCCUGUCGUCGGUCGAAAACCAAGUCCCGACUAAGCAUGUAGAAAGCUUAUUAGUUCCGCGUUUGGACGAGGGUUCAAUCCCCUCCAGCUCCACA